CCCUUCGGGGACACCUGUGUGACAGGUGCUGCAUGGUUGUCGUCAGCUCGUGUCGUGAGAUGUUGGGUUAAGUCCCGCAACGAGCGCAACCCUUGCCUUUAGUUGCCAGCAUUAAAUUGGGCACUCUAUAGGGACUACCGAGGAUAUCUCGGAGGAAAGUGGGGAUGACAUCUAAUCUCCACGCGCCUUAUGCUUAUGGCUACACACGUGCUACACUGGGUGGUACACAGGGCUGCCAAACCGCGAGGUGGAGCUAAUCCCUUAAAGCCAUUCUCAGUUCGGAUUGUAGGCUGAAACUCGCCUACAUGAAGCUGGAGUUACUAGUAAUCUCAGAUCAGAAUGGUGCGGUGAAUGGCUUCCCGGGCCUU
Molecule: ribosomal RNA, 368 nt
Filed under: uncultured bacterium
Lineage: Bacteria
Description: bacterial SSU rRNA
Rfam family: Bacterial small subunit ribosomal RNA
Source: RNAcentral